This 468-nucleotide ribosomal RNA is filed under the name uncultured bacterium. Its description in RNAcentral is "partial 16S ribosomal RNA". It matches the Rfam family "Bacterial small subunit ribosomal RNA", at positions 28 to 507 of the family's 1533-position model. The record is from RNAcentral.
GACGAACGCUGGCGGCGUGCUUAACACAUGCAAGUCGAACGGAAAGGCCCUGCUUUUGUGGGGUGCUCGAGUGGCGAACGGGUGAGUAACACGUGAGUAACCUGCCCUUGACUUUGGGAUAACUUCAGGAAACUGGGGCUAAUACCGGAUAGGAGCUCCUGCUGCAUGGUGGGGGUUGGAAAGUUUCGGCGGUUGGGGAUGGACUCGCGGCUUAUCAGCUUGUUGGUGGGGUAGUGGCUUACCAAGGCUUUGACGGGUAGCCGGCCUGGGAGGGUGACCGGCCACAUUGGGACUGCGGUACGGCCCAGACUCCUACGGUGGGCAGCGGUGGGGAGUAUUGCACAAUGGGCGGAAGCCUGAUGCAGCAACGCCGCGGGCGGGAUGACGGCCUUCGGGUUGUAAACCGCUUUCGCCUGUGACGAAGCGUGAGUGACGGUAAUGGGUAAAGAAGCACCGGCUAACUACGUG